UUUUCCUUUAUUCAUCCUUUGGCAUUAUACUGUCGUUUAUUUGUAUAUCAAUUUUAAAUAUAAAACGAAAAUAGAAGGUUAUUCACCUUAUACUAAUUUUUAUACAAUUUACAUAUUCUCUUAUUAUUAUACGUAUAUAUUUUUGGCAUAAUAUACGUACAUAUAUAUAUAUAUAUAUAUAUAUAUAUAUACACACCACAAGUUAGAGAAAGGAAGACCUAUUUUACAUAAUAUUCACAAACCAUUUUUUUUUUUUUUUUUUUUUUUCGAAAUAACAAUUUUUUUCUAUUUUAUUUAAAAAAAAAAAUGAAAGAUAAUUUCGAAAAUCAUGACAGUACGGAAGUGUUAGACUUGAGAAAAGAAAAAAAGAAUAAACUACAUUAUUGGAUAAAUGAUGAUAAUAGAAAAAAUAAAAAUAACAAAGAUGUAAAAAAUAAUAAACCUGAUAAUAAAAUAAAUUUUAAAAAUAAUAGAAAAAUUACACCAAAUGGAAAUAAUAAAAAUAAUCAUAAUGAUAUUAAUGGUACUACUGUAAACAAUAAAUUAAGUGAAAAUAAUAAAGAAAUUAUAACAGUAAAAAAUAAAAAAGAAUUUAAAAAAAUAGGUCAUGAAACAAGUGAAGGAAAGUACUUUAACAAUGAUAUUAACAACAAGGGUAAAAAUAAUCACAACAUUAAUAGGAGUACCAAUGAUACUGGUAAUACUAACACCAAUAUUCGAACUGAUAGUAUACAAAAUAGUGGUAAUAUGAAUAGGAAUGUCAAACCAAAAUACACUGGUGGUUAUAAUAAUAGCAGCAAUAGUAAUGAAAACAAUAGUAGUAGCAUUAUAAGCAAUAAAAAUGGUAGUAACAAUAUAAACAAUAAAGAUGGUAGUAAUGUUAAAGCGAAUGUUACUGACCAUAACUUAGUAAAGGGAAGUGUAGAAUAUAAAAAAAAAGUUUACAACGAUAGAGAAAAAAAUAGUAAAAGUUCAUAUCAUAAUUCUGAAAAGGUUAAUUCUGAAAAGGUUAAUUCUGAAAAAGUAAAUUAUGAAAAAGUAAAUUAUGAAAAAGUAAAUUCUGGAAAAGUAAAUUCUGGAAAAGUAAAUUCUGGAAAAGUAAAUUAUGAAAAUAUAAAUUAUGAAAAAAUAAAUUAUGAAAAAAUAAAUUAUGAAAAAAUAAAUUAUGAAAAAGUAAAUUCUGGAAAGGUUAACUCCGAAAAGGAAAUUGUUGAAAACAAUGGAACUACUAAUGUUACUACUUCCAAGACUAACAACAUGACUAGAAAUAUAAGUAACAAUGCUAAUAGUGAAGAAUUGAAAAAAGAAAUAAAUAAAAAUUAUAUGAAGAGUGAAA
Molecule: long non-coding RNA, 1336 nt
Filed under: Piliocolobus tephrosceles (Ugandan red Colobus)
Lineage: Eukaryota; Metazoa; Chordata; Mammalia; Primates; Cercopithecidae
Description: lncRNA (ENSPTEG00000006038.1)
Source: RNAcentral